Molecule: ribosomal RNA, 500 nt
Filed under: uncultured bacterium
Lineage: Bacteria
Description: partial 16S ribosomal RNA
Rfam family: Bacterial small subunit ribosomal RNA
Source: RNAcentral
AUUGAACGCUGGCGGCAUGCCUUACACAUGCAAGUCGAACGGCAGCACGGGAGCAAUCCUGGUGGCGAGUGGCGAACGGGUGAGUAAAGUAUCGGAACGUGCCCAGUCGUGGGGGUUAACGUAGCGAAAGUUACGCUAAUACCGCAUACGAUCCAUGGAUGAAAGCGGGGGAUCGCAAGACAUCGAGCGACUGGAGCGGCCGAUAUCAGAUUAGGUAGGUGGGGGGGUAAAGGCUCACCAAGCCGACGAUCUGUAGCUGGUCUGAGAGGCCGACCAGCCAACCUGGGACUGAGACACGGCCCAGACUCCUACGGGAGGCAGCAGUGGGGAAUUGUGGACAAUGGGCGAAAGCCUGAUCCAGCCAUGCCGCGUGCAGGAUGAAGGCCUUCGGGUUGUAAACUGCUUUUGUACGGAACGAAAAGGUUUGGCCUAAUAAGCUGAGCUCAUGACGGUACCGUAAGAAUAAGCACCGGCUAACUACGUGCCAGCCGCCGCGGUAA